This 1050-nucleotide long non-coding RNA is filed under the name Suricata suricatta (meerkat). RNAcentral describes it as "lncRNA (ENSSSUG00005015324.1)". Lineage: Eukaryota; Metazoa; Chordata; Mammalia; Carnivora; Herpestidae. The record is from RNAcentral.
CCCUCGCAUCUCCAAGCAUCUGGUCACAGCCCCGGCCUCCCUGCCAGGUCUCCAGGCAGGCGCUGGGCAAAGGAAAGGAGGCAGGGGACAGUGGGUAGACCUUCCCCAGCCCGGAGAGACCCCUCACUCCGCCUUGGCCUCAGUGAAUCAGGGAGUGCUCCUGACCUGGUGGGCUGCUGCUCCAUUCUGCCUGAAGCUCAGCGCCUUGGAGUCACUACCUUGGGCCACUUGCAUUGUCGACUAUUGAUUGGCCCCGCAAAAGAGGCCUCACCUUGCAGGAAGCAGGCCUGGCACCAGUGUGGAGGCAGGUGCUUUGCUUCUUCCCAGGCCAGGUGGGGCCCCUCUGCUGAGCCCCACCCCAGGGCACAACUGCCAGGCUGCCCGUGAAGCCGCUGGCGUUGGGUUGUUUUAAGACUUAAAGAAGAUAGUACAUACGAAAGUUAUUUGGAAACCGAAAAGUUAAGACAUAAGACAGGGUCUCUGCCCAUGAGGAACUUCCAGUUUGGAAAGAGAUGAAAAAUACAUGAGAUAACUAUAGCAUGAGACAGAAUGUGGCAAGAGCGUUCGGAGAACGAUAAACAGCGUGUUACUUGGAAACACGGAGGAGGUAAAAUUACUUGUGGUUCUAGAGGAGAGCGCCAGAAUGUUUGAGUUGAAUAUUGAAGAAUGGCGGAGGUCCUGUCAGGUAGAAAUACAGAACUGGGGCAGCAGGAGAAGCAGGAAGCUGUGGCACAGGUUUGGAGAAUGGGAGAAGUUUGUGUUUGGAUGGAGGGCAGAGACCCUCUGGGUAACAGAGAAAAGGGGAGUCUAGAAGGGCAGUUCGGGGCCAGACUGCAGACACCUUGAAGGCUGCACUUGGCAAAAUGCCAUCGGUGAACCUUUGUUGGUGCCUUCCGUGAGUAGAGCCACUGAAAGUUCUGGGGGAGGAGCUGACAGCGGGGUAAACCCAUCAGGGGUAGUGAGGUUCUGCCGUCUCUGGGGCCUGGGAUGCAUGCAGAAUGCGGGUGUCUGCCUCAGAACCUCAGUCUGGAGGCAGCUGGUGAGCUGGAG